CCUACGGGUGGCAGCAGUGAGGAAUAUUGGUCAAUGGGCGCGAGCCUGAACCAGCCAAGUCGCGUGAGGGAAGACGGUCCUAUGGAUUGUACACCUCUUUUGUCGGGGAGCAAAAGACGCCACGCGUGGCGUUCCGAGAGUACCCGAAGAAAAAGCAUCGGCUAACUCCGUGCCAGCAGCCGCGGUAAUACGGAGGAUGCGAGCGUUAUCCGGAUUUAUUGGGUUUAAAGGGUGCGCAGGCGGAAGAUCAAGUCAGCGGUAAAAUUGAGAGGCUCAACCCCUUCGAGCCGUUGAAACUGGUUUUCCUGAGUUAGUGAGAAGUAUGGGGAAUGCGUGGUGUAGCGGUGAAAUGCAUAGAUAUCACGCAGAAAUCCGAUUGCGAAAGCAGCAUACCGGCGCUCAACUGACGCUCAUGCACGAAAGUGUGGGUAUCGAACAGGAUUAGAUACCCCAGUAGUC
RNAcentral lists this ribosomal RNA (459 nucleotides) under uncultured bacterium. RNAcentral describes it as "partial 16S ribosomal RNA". It matches the Rfam family "Bacterial small subunit ribosomal RNA", at positions 338 to 795 of the family's 1533-position model. The record is from RNAcentral.